GAAAGAGAGAAGGGAGGAAUGUGGAACAGGGAGAGAAAAUAAGGAAUGUGGAGGAGGGAGAAGAAAAGUGGAAAGAAGCUUGAAUGGGGUACGAUAAGGAGAGGAGGAAGGAAUGUGGAAACGAGAGAAGAAAAAGGGGAGAAAAUUUAGAAGAGGAGAGAGAAGAGAGGAAAGGAGGAGUAAGGAAAUAUGGAAGGGGAAAGAAGUGGAAGGGAGAAAAGGAGAAGAUAGGGAGAAGAAAAACGUAGAUGGAGAAAACAUGGAUUGAAAAGAGAAAGGGAGAAGGAAGGAAGAUAGAACAAGCAGAGAAGGAAGGGAGGAAACGUAGGGAGAUAAAGGGAGAAGGGAGAAAUGAAGUUGCAUAAGAGAAGGAAAGUGAGGAGUUGGCGGAGGAGGAGGAGGAGGAGGAGGAUUGUAAAGGUUAAUAACGGGGGUGAGGAGGCAUUUGGAAAGGGCAGCGGAUGUAAGGGAGGAGGAGGCAAGAAGAAGAGGAAGAAGAAGAAGGGCGGGGCUUGGGGGAGGAAGGGAGGGGAUGGUAGGCCUAUAGGGGAGAGGGGUGAGUGGAUGGAGCAGGGAGAGGAGGGAGGAGGGAGGAGAGAGCAGGAAGAGGGUUAUGUAACAGGGAGAAACAGGGGAGUCUGGAUGCGGGGAAAGGGAGGAUGAGGAAGAAUGGGUUUGGAGGAGGAGGAGGAGGAGAAGGAUUUAGUAAACAGGCUUGAAGGGGCAUCGGAGAAAUAGGCAGAGAUUGGCAGGGGUGGCUUGGGACGAGAUAGGAGGCAUAGGGACGCGAAGAAGAGGGAAUGAACAAAAGAAGACAAGAAGAAAAGAUAGAACAAGGGACGAAGAAAGAACAAGUGGAUGAAAGAAAGAAAAAUAGAGAAAGAGAAGGAGGCGGUUUGAUAGAGAAAAAGAGGUAGAGAAGGAGGUAAAGAAAAAAGAUGAGGGGAGAAAAGAAAGGGAAAAAGGAGGAGGAAGAAGGAGAAGAAAAUUGAGAAGGAGAGAAAAGUGUGUUGGUGAAGAAAAAAAAUAAAGGUGAAAGAACAAAGAAAGAAAUCAAAAUAAAAAGAAGAAAAGAAGAAAGACAGAAGGAAAAGAAAUAAAAACAAAAAUUACAAGAAAGAAAAAAAACGAAAGAAUAAGAAAAAGAAAAUAGUUUGACAAAAAAAAGAAUAGAGUAGAAAAGAAACAGCUAUAGAAAGAUUGUGAAGAAAAGGGAGAUGGUAAUUUAGGAGGAGGAGGAGGAGGAGGAGGAGGAGGAGGAGGUGAGUGAGGGGAACACGUAUUCAGGAAGGGACUGGGGAAGGGGUGUAAGGCUGAUAGGCACGAGAUGGCUUGGCAGGCAGGAAGGAAGAGGCAGUUUAAUAUCGAAGUUUGAUAGGGGUGGGAUGGAACAUGGGAGGAGAGGGAGGGAAAAGAGAGAAAGGAAAGAGAGAAAGCAGAAUAAUAACGAAGCCAGCAAGAAUGGAAAGAGGGAUGGAUAGAAGAAGAGCAGGGAAGAAAGGAAACAAGAAGUGAAGGAAAUGAAGACUACUAACGAACAAAACAAGAAAAUAAAGAAAAUGAUAGAAGAGAAGGGAAAGAAAGUUAAAAAAAAUUAAAGAAAGAGGGAAGAUUACAAACGAAGCAGACAAGGAAAGAAAGAGAGAAGGAGAGAAGGAAGGAAGGAAGGAAGGAAGGGGAAAGAAGGGGCAAAGGAAGUUAAGAAUAAAUGUGAGAAAGAAAAAUGACUAAGAGCUUAACACGAGAGGAAGAAAGAAAGGAAGGAGAGAAGGAAGGAAGGAAGGAAGGAAGGGGAAAGAAGAGACAAACGAAGUUAAGAAUUACAGAGAGAAAGAAAAAUGACUGAAAUAAACACGAGAGGAAGAGAGUAUGGAAGGACAGGAGAGAAGAAGGAAGGAAGAAGAGAAAAAAAGUAAAAUAUAAAGUAAAGAAAGAAUACGCUGACGAAGAAAGUAGUUUGGAAGGGAUGGGAGGUUGAAAAAGCCAUAACGAGAGAAUGUUGAGUGGCUUAGAAGGAAGUGAAGGGAAGGGAAGGAGCGUCUUGGAAUCACAGAGGGGAUGAUCACUGAAGAAAAGGAUUGACAAGAUGAAAAAGAAUAGGAAAAAGUGGCUUAGGAAGAGUGGAAUAGAAAGGGGAUUUAGAAAGCCAUAACGAGAGAAUAUUGAGUGGCUUAGAAGGAAGUGAAGGGAAGGGAAGGAGCGUCUUGGAAUCACAGAGGGGAUGAUCACAGAAGAAAAGGAUUGACAAAAUGAAAAAGAAUAGGAAAAAGUGGCUUAGGAAGGGUGGAAAGAAAGUAGAUUAAGGCUUACAUAGGUGGUAGGAGAACACAGGAAAUGACUUCGAUGAGGAGGAGGAAGAAGUAAUUAGCAAGAAGCUUCGAAAUGCAAGGUUAGAGGGAAGAGGAAAGAGGAAGAAGGUGGCUUAGGAAUAGGCGGAAGAAAUUAACAGGUGGUUUAAAAAUUGAAGUAAAAGGGCAGGCUAAGGGAGUGGAGGGAGCAGAGAGGGAGUGAUUUAGGUAAGAGGUAAGGGGAAGGAUUUAACAGAUGGCUUAUAAAUGGGGGUAAAUAGACAUGAGAGGAUAAGGAGAGAUGAGAGGAAGUGGCUUAGGUAAGGGAUGGGCCGAAAUGAGUUAAUUGGGUGGCUAGUAAAUAGUAACGGAAGAAAAAAGGACAUGAUCAGAGAAUAAAGGAAGUUGAGAGGAAGUGGUUUAAGUAAGGGGUAGGCGGGAGGUAGCUGACAGGUGACUCAUAAGUACAGGUAGAAAGGGACAGGAAGGGAAGUCGUUUAGGUAAGGGGUAGACGGGAGGUAAUUGACAGGUGACUCAUAAGUACAGGUAGAAAGGGACAGGAAGGGAAGUCGUUUAGGUAAGGGGUAGACGGGAGGUAAUUGACAGGUGACUCAUAAGUACAGGUAGAAAGGGACAGGAAGGGAAGUCGUUUAGGUAAGGGGUAGACGGAGGUAAUUG
Long non-coding RNA from Eriocheir sinensis (Chinese mitten crab), 2967 nucleotides. RefSeq lists it as uncharacterized. NCBI's taxonomy places the organism in Eukaryota, Metazoa, Arthropoda, Malacostraca, Decapoda, Varunidae. The transcript has 3 exons. The record is from RefSeq and is a predicted model, not a curated record.